This is a long non-coding RNA of Macaca mulatta (Rhesus monkey), 886 nucleotides long. RefSeq lists it as uncharacterized. Lineage: Eukaryota; Metazoa; Chordata; Mammalia; Primates; Cercopithecidae. The record is from RefSeq and is a predicted model, not a curated record.
GCUCCUCCUUGCCUUCCACCACGAUCGUGAGGCCUCCCCAGCUAUGUGGAACUGGUUACUCUGUCAUGAGUUGCUGUGAUGGCCUGAGUUGGUUGACCUCUAGCCAGGAGGUGGGACUUACAAGAGAGCACCAACUGCAGUAAUAGAAGGGGGAUAGAAGCUUGCCCUAAGUUGGCCAGGAAAUAGGACAGACGAACAGAGUGGGACGAGAAAAUUCCUUCAAGAAUCACAGUUGUUGUGGAUCCCAAGGUACACAUGCCUGCCUGGACCUCAUCCCUUCUACCGACAGAACUCAGCAGUCAUUUAUUUGAGGACAAGCAGCAGAUCAUAUUCUAUAUGCCAACAUACGUAUCUGGGGAGACUGGCUGGUUGCAAGGGUUUGUAACCACCUUCCAGGCAGAUGACAAGAUGGAACCUUCUCGACAUACACCUCAGUUACAAGUCAAGUCAAUAAAAGCCUGGUUGCACGAAAGAGGACAAUGCAUAAAGACUGGCUGUAUAUCUUUGUUUGGUUUGAGUAAGAAAUGCUUCCAUUCAAUGAGGCCACUGAGUUUAUGAUCAAAUCUCCUGGUAAAGAAUAGAGCACAGAGAAACCCACAUUCUUACCGUGUGACAAAUGAGACUGUGAACAUGGACCCUUCUUUAAAACUCCAGCUAAUUCAGGUUGCAGAAUGAAGUGUGCCAUGUCAUAAUUAAUCCCUCAUGUAUUGCAAGCAAUUUAAUGUCAAAAUAAUCGACAGGAGCGUUUUUUACCCUUUUGUGAGUACAUAAUAAAUACUGUCAUUUAGCUGCAGCAAACAUUGGAUUUCUUUCCUGGUCUUUGAAUAACGCUCCUUGUGAGGUAAACACCAGACCUCCUUCUCCAUCUCCCCCUCCCCAAGCCCUA